CCAAAAUCCACAAGAUAUUUAUUGAAGAGAAAACUUCAAUCUUCAAAAAUAGCUUCAUCUUAUGAUAUAAAUUUUUAAAAGAAUAUAUAUCCAAUUCAAUUCAAUUCAAUUGAAUCCAAUGUUGCAAUCACAGUGCCAGCACCUUCUCUUCUCAAAUCCAAUCCCAUUACUAACUCACCACCGUAAUCACUCUCUCCCUUAUCUCCGCAAACCCACUUCCUUUUCAAUUUCCGUUAUUCCUCCUUCAACUUCAUCACUGACAUGGUUCACCCACCUCGCCGAACUCACCACCACAACAAUACCAGAAACAGACGGACCCAUCGAACUCCCAUUUUCUUCAACUCCUUCUCUUCUCUCUUUCACCGACGACCCUUCUCCUAUUCAAGUCGCUUCCAGUGUUCUCCUCACCGGUGCCAUCUCCGUUCUCCUCUUUCGCUCCCUCCGCCGCAGAGCUAAACGUCUCAAACAAACGCAAUUCAGGUCUUCGGGAGAGAAGUCAGUUAAGGAAGAAGCACUGGACACCUUGAAAGCUAUGAGGUCUGCUUCAAUAGAUGCUAAGGGUUCACCUUCACCUGUUCAGGCGUUUCUUGGAGCAAUAUCAGCAGGCGUUAUUUCUCUUAUUUUGUAUAGGUUCGCCUCUACCAUCGAGGCAGCUCUGAACCGGCAAUCUAUUUCAGAUGAUUUCUCUGCCCGCCAGAUAACAAUCACUGUAAGGACAAUCAUAAACGGCUUAACCUACCUUGCAACAUUUAUUUUUGGCCUAAAUUCCCUUGGCCUAUUCCUUUAUUCUGGCCAGCUUGCCAUCAAAUCCUUUACUGGAGAAUCAACUGAAAAGGAAACUGAAAACAAAAGCGCCGAUCAGUCUAGUUUAUCAAAUUUAUCGGUAGAGACUCGCACAAACGACACCGAAUUGAGCAGCACGAAUGAAGAACAAAGUUCCAAUGAUUCUCAGUAAUUACUACUGGAAGUGUAUUGAAGUUGAAGUUGAGGAAUAGUGUAGGUGGCAAGGGUUCUUUAAUGCAGUCACUAGUGUUACUAUUGAAUCUUAUACAUUAUGAAAGUAUAGUAACUCACUCGAACGGAUCAUGCUGUGUCUCUCUCUAAGGCAUGUCAUUGUAUUGUCAUAAUCAAACCAAGAACCCCAACAGUGUGCACUUUUGUCUUCAACUUGGAAAUGCAGUAAAGAAAGAGGCUAAUUUUCACUACCAUGUUUCUAAUAAUUCCACACAUAUUUAAGAAAGUGUAAUUUUGGACACAUAGUUUGUCUUGAGUAUACUUUUAGACAGACACAAAAUUUGUGUAUUUUUCAAAUGUGUAUAUCUGAAGUCAUGUUAGGCAUAGGAAUGCUUAUCACCAAGUAAAAUGACCCCUUAGACCAGCUUGUAACCAACUUAACAUGCGUUUGGUCAGAUUUUCUUGCGUCCCGAUGCUUUUCUCACCGUGAAUACCAUAAGCAACAAAACAUAGUUUCCA
RNA transcript from Cicer arietinum (chickpea), 1473 nucleotides. RefSeq lists it as uncharacterized. The record is from RefSeq and is a predicted model, not a curated record. NCBI's taxonomy places the organism in Eukaryota, Viridiplantae, Streptophyta, Magnoliopsida, Fabales, Fabaceae.